Molecule: regulatory RNA element, 127 nt
Organism: Sulfuricurvum sp. MLSB
Lineage: Bacteria; Pseudomonadati; Campylobacterota; Epsilonproteobacteria; Campylobacterales; Sulfurimonadaceae
Rfam family: purD RNA motif
Source: Rfam
GUAGACGUCUUGGUGUGUUGGUGGUCUCGUUUGAGCCUGCGGGCGAGAGAUUGCCGCCGGAUAGACGCUCGGUCCGCUUUUUUUUCAGCUUUGAGAACCAAGGCUACUGCGAAACGCCCGCCUGGGC